RNAcentral lists this ribosomal RNA (494 nucleotides) under uncultured bacterium. RNAcentral's name for it is "partial 16S ribosomal RNA". It matches the Rfam family "Bacterial small subunit ribosomal RNA", at positions 28 to 507 of the family's 1533-position model. The record is from RNAcentral.
GACGAACGCUGGCGGCGUGCUUAACACAUGCAAGUCGAACGGUGACGCGCCUUCCUUUUUGGUGGGUGUGGAGGAGUGGCGAACGGGUGAGUAACACGUCAGUAACCUGCCCCCUCCUGCGGGGUAACCCCAUGAAAUUUGGGUUAAUACGGGAUACUCUGGUUCUUUCGCCUGCUGGGGCUGUAGAAGGGAUGGUUUCGGGGGUGAAUGGGCUCGCGGCCUAUCAGCUUGUUGGUGGGGUGAUGGCCUACCAAGGCGGUGACGGGUAGCCGGCCUGAGAGGGUCGACGGUCACACUGGGACUGAGACGCGGCCCAGACUGCCACGGGAGGCAGCAGUGGGGAAUAUCGCACAGUGGGCGCCAGAAUCAUGCCGCGCCGCCGCGUGAGCGACGGAGGCCGGCGGGUGGCGAACCUCUUUCGCCCGUGAAGCAGGCAGGCCUCGUUUGUGGGUGGGUUGACGGUAGCUGGAUCAGAGGCGCCGGCUAACUACGUG